RNAcentral lists this ribosomal RNA (674 nucleotides) under uncultured fungus. RNAcentral's name for it is "eukaryotic LSU rRNA". It matches the Rfam family "Eukaryotic large subunit ribosomal RNA", at positions 24 to 664 of the family's 3401-position model. The record is from RNAcentral. Lineage: Eukaryota; Fungi.
CCCGCUGAACUUAAGCAUAUCAAUAAGCGGAGGAAAAGAAACUAACCAGGAUUCCCCUAGUAACGGCGAGUGAAGCGGGAAGAGCUCAAAUUUGUAAUCUGGCGGUCUUCAGGCCGUCCGAGUUGUAGUCUGGAGAAGCGUUUUCCGCGCCGGUGCCGUGUACAAGUCUCUUGGAACAGGGCGUCAUAGAGGGUGAGAAUCCCGUCUUUGACACGGACAACCGGGGCUUUGCGAUGCGCUCUCGAAGAGUCGAGUUGUUUGGGAAUGCAGCUCAAAUCGGGUGGUAAAUUCCAUCUAGAGCUAAAUACAGGCGAGAGACCGAUAGCGAACAAGUACCGUGAGGGAAAGACGAAAAGAACUUUGGAAAGAGAGUUAAACAGUACGUGAAAUUGCUGAAAGGGAAACGCUUGAUGUCAGUCGCGUUGGCCGGGGAUCAGCCUUGCUUAAUCGCGAGGCGUACUUCCUGGUCGACGGGUCAGCAUCAGUUUUGACCGUCGGAAAAGGGCUUGAGGAAAGUGGCACUCUCUCGGGAGUGUGUUAUAGACUCGGGUCUUGAAUACGAUGGUUGGGACUGAGGAACUCAGCACGGCCCUUUGGGUAUCGGGGCUUCGGCCCACGUUCGCGUGCUUAGGAUGCUGGCAUAAUGGCCUUAAGCGACCCGUCUUGAAACACGG